AGCGAACGCUGGCGGCAGGCCUAAAACAUGCAAGUCGAACGCCGUAGCAAUACGGAGUGGCAGACGGGUGAGUAACACGUGGGAACGUGCCCUUUGGUUCGGAACAACACAGGGAAACUUGUGCUAAUACCGGAUAAGCCCUUACGGGGAAGAUUUAUCGCCAGAGGAUCGGCCCGCGUCUGAUUAGCUAGUUGGUGAGGUAACGGCUCACCAAGGCUACGAUCAGUAGCGGUCUGAGAGGAUGAUCAGCCACACUGGGACUGAGACACGGCCCAGACUCCUACGGGAGGCAGCAGUUAGGAAUCUUGGACAAUGGGCGCAAGCCUGAUCCAGCCAUGCCGCGUGAGUGAUGAAGGCCUUAGGGUUGUAAAGCUCUUUCAGCGGGGAAGAUAAUGACGGUACCCGCAGAAGAAGCCCCGGCUAACUUCGUGCCAGCCGCCGCUGUAAU
Molecule: ribosomal RNA, 448 nt
Filed under: uncultured bacterium
Lineage: Bacteria
Description: bacterial SSU rRNA
Rfam family: Bacterial small subunit ribosomal RNA
Source: RNAcentral